Molecule: unclassified non-coding RNA, 241 nt
Filed under: Hevea brasiliensis (rubber tree)
Lineage: Eukaryota; Viridiplantae; Streptophyta; Magnoliopsida; Malpighiales; Euphorbiaceae
Source: RNAcentral
ACAAAAUAAUUAUUUAAAAAUUUGAGGUGUUACAUUCAUAAUUUGGGUAUUUGUGUGAGAAUUAGGUCUAAAUGUGUAAGAGAGCUAAUGGCCCCAUUUGGGUGAGAGAAACGUGAGACUGGUCCAUUAUAUUUGGGUAAGAAUUGAGAUUGGAUCCAUCAUAUUUAAGAGAGUUAAUGGGUCCACUAUGUUUGAGUAGUGAGAUUAUGAGAUGGGUUCAUUAUAUUUAUAGAGUUGAUGG